UGAGACAGUUGCCUCUCUCUGCAAGCUGAAAAAAGCAGGUAAAUAUGUUUUCACAUUUACCUGUUUCUUCUUACUUAUGCUUUCCACAUCCACUCAAAGAUUUUCAUCAAUCAGCGUCCUAUCCCUAGGAAUGCUGGAAAAGUGCAUUUGACAUACCUGAUAGAUUUACACAUGUGCAGUUGGAAGAUCUCUUUGCCUUGUAGUAUCUGGGCAAGGGGAGAGGAAAGGAGUCUAAACAGUGUUUACACACAUGCAGAGCAGGCUGUGGUGUCGGGUUUCUUUCUCCUGCUGCUGCACAAUGAUGCCCUGUUUCUGUCAUUAGUGGACUGAUCUGAAACUGAGGUGGGUAUGUAAGAGGGAGGUCGGAGGGAGGCUGACAAAGCUCUCUUAACUGAGAGGCGUGCCCAACAAUAGAAUCUGACCAAGUUCAUAGUAGGUUUAUAAACAUUUAUUACAUACUUUUUUU
This is a non-coding RNA of Pelobates cultripes (western spadefoot toad), 466 nucleotides long. The record is from the annotation of a GenBank genome assembly. Lineage: Eukaryota; Metazoa; Chordata; Amphibia; Anura; Pelobatidae.